AGUAACCGUGUAAUAAACGUUCAGAGUGAAUCUGACCAUUACAUGCCUGAUGGAAUAUGCCCCAGAAAAUCCUACGCAGUGCAAAAAAAAUUUCAAACCAAAGUAACAUAGCAUGAUUCAUCCCGGCCUGGGUUCCUGUUAUGCACGGCACAGAUUGAAAUUCCAUAUCCCCACCUCAAACUGGGGUUUAUGCACAGCUUUUUCUGCCUGCAGUAAUUGCAAAUCUUGGAGCUGGAAUGAGUGGAAAUACUGAGAACUCCUAAAAGACCCUCAUGGGGGCACAUUUACCCAGGAAGAAGAAGGCUUGGUGGAGGAACGAUGCAGCAAAUUAGAUGCCUGGUCCCCAGCACACUCCUUCAGCAGCUGUGGCACUUAGAGGGUACUAGAUGGAGACAGGAUUCGUGUUGAGCUGUAAUUCACCUGCACAGGCUGCUGGCAGGAGGAACCACGAGGGAACUGACUCGGUAUGCAACAGCCAAAUUCACAUUGACAUCACAGAGGGGAACAAUGGAUGUCCAGCAUCAAAAUGAGAGCUGCUUUCUGCCUUACUCCAGUGCUUUCUGCUGGUGCUACCCCUGCCCCUGUGCUGAUGGCCGGGCCUGGACUGUAAGAGGCACAGGGGUGUCAGAGCUGAUGGGGGGAAUGCUGAGAGUUUCCUGCAUGUGACUGUUUUGGAGGUGAUUUCCUGACAUGAGGCAUGGUGUGCAGGAUAGAAGAACCAGGGGCACUUUCCUGGAAAGACUAGCAAAUUUUCCUGGCUUCACACACAAAACUGGUUUGUCUGCCAGCUAACUCCCAUCCAGAAUUGCUGGACCAGAGCUGGAGGCAGACUUUCCAUGAUCUUUGGUGGCACAAGUUGUCCCCAUAUUUCCCAUCCCCUGGUUGCAGCUACUGCUGUGGACCUGCAGCUCCUCUUCCUGGGUGGUAAGGACUGCCAAAAGGGCUUGGACACCAUCACUGCUGCCACUGCACGUGCUGGUGUCCCCCAUGGGAUGGAGGUCACCAGGAGAAGAGACCUAAUGACAGCUCUGCCCUGCAUCCCAAGCUGCUCUUCUGCACAGAUCUAUCCCAUGCCAGUCCCUGUUCCACCUACCUUGUGACCAAAAGCUAACACAGGACUGCAUUUUACCUUU
Long non-coding RNA from Cyanistes caeruleus (blue tit), 1133 nucleotides. RefSeq lists it as uncharacterized. The record is from RefSeq and is a predicted model, not a curated record. Lineage: Eukaryota; Metazoa; Chordata; Aves; Passeriformes; Paridae.